UCGGGAAUCUUGCGCAAUGGGCGAAAGCCUGACGCAGCAACACCGUGUGGGCGACGAAGGCCUUCGGGUCGUAAAGCCCUGUUGUUGGGGACGAAGGGCGAAGGGUUAAUAGCCCCUAGCCUGACGGUACCCUUCGAGGAAGCCCCGGCUAACUACGUGCCAGCAGCCGCGGUAAUACGUAGGGGGCGAGCGUUGUCCGGAAUUAUUGGGCGUAAAGAGCGUGUAGGCGGUUCGGUAAGUCUGCCGUGAAAACCUGGGGCUCAACCCCGGGCGUGCGGUGGAUACUGCCGGGCUAGAGGGUGGUAGAGGCGAGUGGAAUUCCCGGUGUAGCGGUGAAAUGCGCAGAUAUCGGGAGGAACACCAGUAGCGAAGGCGGCUCGCUGGGCUAUUCCUGACGCUGAGACGCGAAAGCUAGGGGAGCGAACAGGAUUAGAUACCCUGGUAGUCCUAGCCGUAAACGAUGAACACUAGGUGUGGGGGGAGUCGGAAUCCCCCUGUGCCGAAGCCAACGCGUUAAGUGUUCCGCCUGGGGAGUA
Molecule: ribosomal RNA, 536 nt
Filed under: uncultured Actinomycetes bacterium
Lineage: Bacteria; Bacillati; Actinomycetota; Actinomycetes
Description: bacterial SSU rRNA
Rfam family: Bacterial small subunit ribosomal RNA
Source: RNAcentral